RNAcentral lists this long non-coding RNA (207 nucleotides) under Elaeis guineensis (African oil palm). RNAcentral's name for it is "long non-coding RNA (EGUI_LNC050492)". Lineage: Eukaryota; Viridiplantae; Streptophyta; Magnoliopsida; Arecales; Arecaceae. The record is from RNAcentral.
GUGCCAAAAGGAAUCCAAACUUGAACCUGAUUUGUGCACCUAUAGGUCCCACGCCACAACUUUUUUUGACACCCUUUUUUUCUUUAUUUUUAGUGUGUAAGAAGGGAGUUAUAGACCCCCUUAUCCUAUGUAAUAUGAGGCAUGAUUCCAUGAUGGGGUGGUAUCCAAUUUUUGGGAGAGUUCAAUGCUCUUUGGACUCUAUCUCCC